This 65-nucleotide transfer RNA is filed under the name Melamphaus faber. Its description in RNAcentral is "tRNA-Trp". Lineage: Eukaryota; Metazoa; Arthropoda; Insecta; Hemiptera; Pyrrhocoridae. The record is from RNAcentral.
AAAGUUUUAAGUUAAAUAAACUAUUAACCUUCAAAGUUAAAAAUAUGAAUAAAUCAUAAGCUUUA